Meleagris gallopavo (turkey) is the source of this 280-nucleotide non-coding RNA. NCBI's taxonomy places the organism in Eukaryota, Metazoa, Chordata, Aves, Galliformes, Phasianidae. The record is from RefSeq and is a predicted model, not a curated record.
AAGAGGCUUUAGCAUGGAGAAGAGGAGGCUCAUGUAAGAUCUUGUCAUUCUCCACAACUACCUGAGUGGAGAUUGUAGUGAGAUGCUCCACAAUGAGAGGAGGGGAAAGAAACAGCUGCAAAGCAGAAUGAGCCCCUCUGUGGAAUGAUGCACUGAAGAGGUCACAUUGAUUCAAAAUCAGAGUUUUUGCAACAUAAAGUGAAGGCCACGCUGGUCUGAAAACAACAAAGACUGUUAUUAAAACAUUAAAAAAUUGAACAAAUAAAGAAACAAAAAACAA